Molecule: non-coding RNA, 1579 nt
Organism: Triticum urartu
Lineage: Eukaryota; Viridiplantae; Streptophyta; Magnoliopsida; Poales; Poaceae
Source: RefSeq, a predicted model, not a curated record
CCUCCCGCAUCCUCUUCCUCUCCCUCUCUUGAUCUUCUCUGGAAACCUAACCACGCAUCUGCACGCUCCCUGCCGCGUCGUUGCCCCCGCUCGCCCUCGUGCCUUCCCCUCCUCCCUGCCCGCGCCGUUGCUCCCGCUCAUCCUCGCGCCCUUGCAACUUCCCCUUCUCCCCGCCCUCUCCCUGCUCAGCCGGAGGAGCGCGGCUCACCGUCGGAGCGUGGCUCGCCGCCGAUGCUCACGAGAGAGAUCAUCGCCCCCGGUCAACUCUGGCCGCCUCCACCACCACCCACUGGCAGGAGGCCCACCACUCCUCCUUCUCCUCCACCACGGGCAUGUUCCUCACCAAGAGCGGGAGCGUCUCUGCCUGGAGGCGGCGCCAUCGGCUGGAGGAGCGGCGGCUGGGUAUCCGACUCUCUGCUUUGUUCGACAAGGAGCAUGUCGCCGUCACCUUGGGUGCAGCCGUCCGGUGGAAGGCGCUCUCCCUUUUUCAGAAGGCGAGGAGGAUCGGCGGAUCCAGCCCCCCUCCUCUCCAGCUCGGUAGAGACAAAAGAGGAGGUCACCGGGAGAUGACGGAAGAUCAAAGGAGGAUGGUCAAUCGACAUAUGCGACAAAGAUCCUGUUGUGCACAAGCAUACUCCAUACAUUGUUAUCCUCGUGAGGCUUGCAGAAAAAUGGGCAGAUGCGCGUGAUGGUCAGUGACCUUCGGCCUGGAAAGAGAAAGGGGAAUUUAAGCCGUAUGCUUAAACCGCAAGUCAUCCAAGAAGUGGUCCGGUUUUACACAGUGCUCCUAAUAGUACAUUAAAAGCAAAAACAGUGAACUCCCUCAAAAUGAUUUGGCCCUUGCCUCUCAAUAUGGUUCCCGGUGCAUAAUGGACUACCAAACAAUGUUAAGAAGCCAUAGUGGCUCGGGAAGGAGUGUGAUUGUGCUAGCAGAGUAAAAGACCAUAAUGGCAAUGUCGCUCUGACUGCUCCUGGACUUCCAUGGUGGCGCUGGAAGAUUUAGCCUGCCGCUUUGCCUGCGCUUCGCCUGAUCACCGUUCAUCCAGAUAUGAUGGCAAGAAAUAAGGUUCUUGUCGGUGUCAAAACCGGUGGAUCUCGGGUAGGGGGUCCCGAACUGCGCGUCUAAGGCGGAUGGUAACAGGAGGUGGGGGAUACGAUGUUUACCCAGGUUUGGGCCCUCUCAAUGGAGGUUCAAAAUUGAACUUGUUUUGCUAUAAAUGGCCUCCCGCGGUUGUAUACAAAGCUGAAGUAGGUACCAUCUCCAUGAAAGUACUUGCAAAGGUGUGUUGGAGCUGAACUAAGGAAGUUGUCAAUGCUCAAGCCAUGUGCAAGAAGAGUGAACCAGAAAACUAAGAAGAUGUUUAUUUUUUAUUGUUUAUCCUUAGGUUGUAUUUGACUAUUUAUUGUGGCGAAUUGGCCGAGUUUUCUAAUUGGAGUCUCAUUGAGGAAUGUUGAAGGGUUUAGAUUUAUAUUUAAGGUCUACCAGUAAUAUAGGAAGCAAGUUGUGGUGUGUGUGCCAGUUAUCUUAUGAACAAGUGAGACCACCAUUAAUUUAAAUCUCUCAUAUACUUCGUUAAGU